UUUGAGGGGAAUGUUGUCUGGCUCGAGGCCAUCAUCGAUCGUUUCUUUCGCAGAUCCAUGUGAAGGUCUCGGACCAGGCUUCAUUCCCCCCAGU
RNAcentral lists this microRNA precursor (94 nucleotides) under Musa acuminata subsp. malaccensis (wild Malaysian banana). RNAcentral's name for it is "mir-166 microRNA precursor family". It matches the Rfam family "mir-166 microRNA precursor family". Rfam says of the family: This family represents the plant microRNA (miRNA) precursor mir-166. Animal miRNAs are transcribed as ~70nt precursors and subsequently processed by the Dicer enzyme to give a ~22nt product. In plants the precursor sequences may be longer, and the carpel factory (caf) enzyme appears to be involved in processing. RNAcentral also lists the same sequence under 1 other name. Lineage: Eukaryota; Viridiplantae; Streptophyta; Magnoliopsida; Zingiberales; Musaceae. The record is from Rfam by way of RNAcentral.